ACACCCCCAAAUAUAAACCCAAUAUUUCCCAAAAACCCUAAUCCUAAUCUAACAAGACCAGCCUCAACCCCUCUUUGCCAUCUCCCAUGUCUGUCGCGAACCCAUGCCCUAAACCACCCGAAAAUCUUCCCCAAAUCAUUACAUGGUCCGCCCUGUCAUGGUCCCCUCCUCUCAUAUUCCUUCCACGUCAUCCAAAUCUACAACGACCUGAACAUUCUCGUUCCUUUUCACACGGAUUUGCGGGUGAUUUUUGUAUGAAUGGGAGAUAUAGAUUGAUUAUGAAUCAAUCAUGGCCAUCCAUUUUUCCGAAAAUCAUUCGCCACAGAUAAUCAGAAGAUUUCGAUUUUUUUCAGAGGAUUUUUGGAUUAUUCAAGUGUGUUUUUGGGGAUUUCUUGGAGAAGGGGGAAGAAGCUUCUAGGGGUGAGAUAUAUUCGAGAGGUUUGGAGGACUGAGGGCUCAGACAGAAAAUGAGAGAUUGAAAAUUUUUGGAAAAACAAAAACUAGGGUUCUUGGUUUUUAAUUUGGGCUUUCUACUCAGAUUUUUUUAUUCUUAGGCGCAAUUAGAAUUCCAGAAAACUAAAACAAAAAAAAAUGUUUCGAGUUUGAUAUUUGUUCAUGCAUUGCUCCUCUUCCGAAAAUUCAGAAAAUACAUAGGAAAAUAUAUUCUAGUUUCUUCCUCCACUUGUGGUGUUCAGAAAUGGAUUCGGACUGAAAUUUUGUUGUGUGUUAGUCGCACAGUUGAGUCGAGGUGUUGAUUCGAGUCGCUGAGGUGCAUUUGAGGUUGGAUUCUGGUUCGUAGUUCCUGCUGCUUGUUCAUUUCGAAGCUUCAUCGAAAAGUUUUUGUAAUUGCUUAGAAACAGAUUUAAUCGAAAGGCUACACUCUCAGGUUCAUCUCGUUCCUCAUUCUGUUUGCUUGCUGUUUUGUGAUGAAUUAAUCAUGACGAGAUCAUUGGAUAAACCAUAAGAAUUUUUUUGAAUCUUAAAAGUUGGUUAAGUUUAAGCGUUAAGAGAAACAAAUCAUUGUGUUCCGAAUGAUGGCGGAUUUCUCUUAACGUGUGAUUCCGUUCUGAUCGUUCUGCUCGAAUGGUGUUUAUACUUGUUUGCUCUGUUUAGUCUAUUGUUAUAUUCUGUCGCGCCGCUCAUAUGUUGGUUUGGCUGGUAGAAAUAGGAAUAUGGUCGUUCCUCACUGUUUCAUCUGAAUUCUUUGUUCUCACUACUGAUUUUGGUUCUGAAAACUGUUGGUUUCUUUCAUAAUCUGAUCACGGAUUUUUGUGUUGUAACAUCCCUCACUGCUCACAAGAUUCUCGUAGUAUCAUGAAAUCGAAGCCUACCUGUUUAGUUCAAGAAUAAACAUGAAAGUUUGAUGAGGUAUAACCAGUGGCCUGCGAUUUAAUUUGAGUUGAUGUUGUCUUCGACAUGCUAAUCCUUGUAGUCGCUGGUCCAUUAGUUAUCAUGAAAGAUUGGUUUGCCGUCGAAGCCUUCUGUUGAUUAAGCUCGGUAUGAGUUAUAUUCCCAGCAAUUCUCCUAACUUGUCUUAAGUUUGGUUGCUGAAAUUGGUAUUCACGGUUUCGAAUAUGAAUGGGCUUGAAUUUGUUGUGAUUGUUGACAAGAAUGUGAAGCUGUCUUGUGAUCGCUGCAGUCUCUACAAAUGUUUCUGCUCGUUUGUUUGAAUUGGAACUAAAAACAGGAAUCCUCUAAUCUUGAAGGUCCUGGGCUUACUUACCUUCUCUGUUAAUAUUCGAACAUGGAUCUAUUUUAAGUUUUGAAGAAUGAUUUGGUUCAAAAUAGUUUGUUUCUCAUUUUUUCAGUCACGAGUGUCUCUACGAAGGAAGAAAAAUGAAAUUCUAUGCCUGCUUGAACAUUCACGUUUGCCUAGUUUUUUUUAAAAAUGUCUGGCACCAUAUAAUUGCUUCAUAAGCUAAUUAAGUUAUUGGAUUUUCCUGUGUCUGGAUUUUAUUCAGUCUAGUUGUCUUCAUGAAGAAUUCUACGUUUUACUUCAGUCAUUGAGGUUUAUUCUUAACCAUACUUACUUAAUUUUACUACUCCACAUGUUAGUUGUUGCUUAACUGAAGUAUAGAGUUAGCUUUAAUUACCUUGUCUGUUUCUCUUAUUUCCUUUAGUUAGUAUUUGUUUGUUUCUUUUAACUGAAGUAUAGGAUUACUACUCCACAUGUUACUAUUUGCUAAUUUGUGCUUGUGUUAGCAGUAACUAGAUUUGAUAUUGGCCUAUGGGUUUAUAGAAAUUAAAUUAAAGAGAAUAGGAUUGAAAUCUUGAUGCAUAUGGGCUGUCUGUCGUAUUACGUUGAAUAUCUGUUGGACUUAUUCUUGGUACAUAACCUCUAGGAGCAUGCUAGGCUGUUAUCACUUGGGCAGGUAAGCCUUAAGAUUUUUCGUUCGCUUAGAAUGUGAGGCGAGAGGUCGUUCCCGUAGUUAAAUUUAUCCGAGGAAUGCCCCAAAGGACUUGUAUAUAUUUUAUUCUGGGGUAUGCCCUGAAGUAAUUGUAUUUGGUGGCCAUGAAGAACAGCGUAGAAGAAAUAGUGUAGGAUAAUCUAGAACUUUAACCUUUCUUCUUUUAAUUUUCUUUCAUCUAGGCGGGGACGACCUCGAGCCUCUUGUGUGUUUACUUUAUUUUUAUGUGUUUUGCCUCAAUUUGAAUGUUUUAAAAGCCAACUAGAUCGAGUAUGCAACCGUGACUUUCACGGGACUUGGGGAGUGCCUAACACCUUCUCCACAAGUCAAAUGAACCCCCUUACCCUAAUCUUUGGUGUAGACUUAGUUUUAGAGUUCAAAAUAUUUAAAAGGAAAAAUCAUUUAAGAAAAAAAACGGUGACCUGACACACUAAAUUCAAAUGUCAGGUGGCGACUCUGAGUUAUUUUCCUUUUGAAACAAAUUUUGUUACUUUCAAAAUUGAAAACCCUUUUCAAGCUUUAAUGAAAUCCUUUUAUUUAUUUUAAGAGGGUUUAGUGGGGUUUGUUUAAAAAAGGGGCGUGACAACCUUCAAUUGUACUUAUUCCAUAUGUUCUUGUUCAGAACUAUGAUGUAUUUAUUUUGUAUAACUGCUCUUAGAAAAAAACUUAUGACUUAUACUACCGGAUUUGAGAAUGGUAAAUUGUUUCGAGAAAUUUUAUUUUAACUUAAUAAAUAUCAAUGUUAUUUCAGCUAAUGUUAGGCUUACCUAAUUUAGAGACUAUGUGCCAUCACGACUCAUUCGGAGAGAUUUUUGGGUCGUGACGUUAGUAAAUGUACAAUACUAAAUAGUUGAUAAUUCAAUAAAAAAUAAAAUAAGGAACAUACCAUUUAUUUUAUUACCAUAUGUAUAAUGUGUAUCCUUUGAUUUUGUAUAGAUUGUGUUAUAUUUCCGUACACAACAUUAGAAAUAAAAUAGCAACUAGUAAAAUUUACUAAAAUAAUAUAAUAUAUUAGAUCAUAAUUUUAUAAUAUUAAUAUUUUUUAAAAUUAUCCGUGCGACGCACGGGUUCUUACACUAGUAUAUCAUUUAAGACAAGCUAAUUAACAUUGAAAUUAUUGGAGCCCACAAUUCUUGUCGAACAACCUGGGCAAUGCCACUGGCCACCUUCAUCCCCGGCAUCUCUAACAAUUUUCAUGUAUCCUUCCUCACCCCAUGUAGUCCCCCAUGAGUUCUUGACUAGCCAAUAAUUUGUACCAUCUUCACUUGUUCCAUAACCUAUAACUGUGACUGCAUGAUUCAGCGUAGGGUUGCAACUCCCAUCAUAUAUUCCACUUCCAUACAAAUGAAACUUCCCAUUAGCAGCAAUACCAACAGAUAUUGGUUGAUUAGCUACAGCUUGCAGUAACGCGGACUCGCUUGACUCUACUAUUUUAUAACCAC
Molecule: long non-coding RNA, 3850 nt
Filed under: Nicotiana benthamiana
Lineage: Eukaryota; Viridiplantae; Streptophyta; Magnoliopsida; Solanales; Solanaceae
Description: long non-coding RNA (NBEN_LNC028831)
Source: RNAcentral